CAGUCAGAGGCGAUGAAAGGCGUAAUAACUUGCGAUAAGCCCAGAUUAGGUAGUAAUAACCUUUUGAGUCUGGGAUUCCUGAAUGGGGAAACCCACUUGCAUAAGCAAGUAUCCUGUUGUGAAUACAUAGCAACAGGAGGCAAACCGGGGGAACUGAAACAUCUAAGUACCCCGAGGAAGAGAAAUCAACCGAGAUUCCGAAAG
RNAcentral lists this ribosomal RNA (204 nucleotides) under Vibrio sp. OPT24. RNAcentral's name for it is "partial 23S ribosomal RNA". It matches the Rfam family "Bacterial large subunit ribosomal RNA", at positions 37 to 243 of the family's 2925-position model. Lineage: Bacteria; Pseudomonadati; Pseudomonadota; Gammaproteobacteria; Vibrionales; Vibrionaceae. The record is from RNAcentral. RNAcentral also lists the same sequence under 1 other name.